CCGAGAAGGCAAUGGCACCCCACUCCAGUACUCUUGCCUGGAAAAUCCCAUGAAUGGAGGAGCCUGGUAGGCUGCAGUCCAUGGGGUCGCUAAGAGUCGGACACGACUGAGAGACUUCCCUUUCACUUUUCACUUUCAUGCAUUGGAGAAGGAAAUGGCAACCCACUCCAGUGUUCUUGCCUGGAGAAUCCCAGGGAUGGGGGAGCCUGGUGGGCUGCCGUCUAUGGGGUCGCACAGAGUCUGACAUGACUGAAGUGACUUAGCAGCAGCAGCAGAAUACAUGCAACAACAUUUGGUGAAGAUCUUGACUGUUCUUCAUUAAUGGGAUUGGGAAUCUAGUUGGCUGAAUCCUGAUUAUAAUAUCAUGUUAGAGUUGGAACAUGCAGAAUGGAUCUUUUGGUCUAACUUGAACUGUACAAAUGUUAGAGUUACUACCUUAUAGGGCCUCACAUGGUAUUUAGCACAAAGUAGAAGUUCCAUACAUAUUUAAAAUCUUGAAACAAUAAGGACAAUGAGAGUUAGAGCAGUGAUGUUGAGCAAGGUGAUCUAAUUAGUGAGCAGAUCUGACUCCUAAACAUUUGCUUCUACACUGAAUUCUAUCAAAUAUUCUCCUCCCAGGUGACCACGCCAACCCCCACUCCCACCCUCGCCAUGUUGGCUCCCAGGUUAAGCAUGACGUCCUCACCUCGGCAUUCAUCAAGUCUGCCGGGUCCCAGCUCCCUCUUCUCCUUUAUAUUACUUAGAUGUACUUGUACUCUAGUCCACAUGUUCUUUUGAUCUACCCUCAUGGUUCCUAUUUUUUUCUGCCUUUGCUCAAGCUGUUUCCUUCAUAUUGACAAACUUUUCUACCCACCUCUCCUUUUCAGAAUCUCAUCUGCCUUUUAGUGAGAUUAGGGGCGAAUCCACAGAGAUGUUGGAGGACUGGGCGCUACUAUAGUUAAAAGAAGUUGAUAACAAACAGCAAAAUGUCCUGGUGGGUUCCAGAAGAAUGGCAGAAGUAUGUCCUUGGAUACCUUCAGCCAGUUUCACCUACCGUUUGUUGCACCUUGUCCUGGAGCCACAACUCAGAUCUGCCUGGAAGAUGAGCGGCUGAAUGAUAAACAGUCAGAGGGAUGCAGGUUCCUCCAGAUUCAUAGAAGAACAAUAGGAAGGACCAAGGACAAGAAGUACUGUUCCCCUGAAGAGAAAUUCUCUAAUGGCUACAGAUGGGGCUCAAGAACAAGGAGAUGCAAUUGCAACCAGGAUGUCUUGUGGAUAAGAGGUCCAGCCCAAGCUUUGGUCAUAUUGAGUCAAUACUGGGACCUCUUCUUGAUGAGACCAAAAACACAUUUGAUCUAUCUGCUGCUGCUGCUGCUGCUAAGUCGCUUCAGUCGUGUCCGACUCUGUGCGACCCCAUAGACGGCAGCCCACCAGGCUCCCCCACCCCUGGGAUUCUCCAGGCAAGAACACUGGAGUGGGUUGAUCUAUCUACCUUUCUCUUUUUGUCUCUUGUAUGUUAAAAAUUAUAAAGAAAAGUAUUUCUUAAUUGUCUAAAGAUAUAUAUUCCAUGAAGACAAGGAUUGCAUCUCUUUUACAUUCUGUAACCUUCAAACAAUUGUGUAUAGAAAAUGUUGGAGUGCUCAAUUAACAAAUGAAUCAAGGCACUACCAUUUCUUUCCUAAAUGUCACAUAUUUUUACCCAGCUAAAAAUAUUUUUCCAUGGUCUUGGCAUUUUACAUGUGACAUGGCAUCUGCUCUGAAAGUAACAAUAGAAUUAUAACAGACCUCUCAACUGCUAUUUUCAGUAAACUAUUUUGUCAUUGUAAAAUCUUUUGUUAAAUGCUAGAAAAGAUAAUUAUUCUUUUUUUUUCUUAACAUCAUUAUGAAUAAAAGUGCCAUGUACUUACA
Bos indicus x Bos taurus (hybrid cattle) is the source of this 1887-nucleotide long non-coding RNA. NCBI's taxonomy places the organism in Eukaryota, Metazoa, Chordata, Mammalia, Artiodactyla, Bovidae. The record is from Ensembl.